UAAGUAAGCUUUGAUCCAGAGAUUUCCGAAUGGGGAAACCCAGCAUGAGUUAUGUCAUGUUAUCGAUAUGUGAAUACAUAGCAUAUCAGAAGGCACACCCGGAGAACUGAAACAUCUUAGUACCCGGAGGAAGAGAAAGAAAAUUCGAUUCCCUUAGUAGCGGCGAGCGAAACGGGAAGAGCCCAAACCAACAAGCUUGCUUGUUGGGGUUGUAGGACACUCUAUACGGAGUUACAAAGGACGACAUUAGACGAAUCAUCUGGAAAGAUGAAUCAAAGAAGGUAAUAAUCCUGUAGUCGAAAAUGUUGUCUCUC
Molecule: ribosomal RNA, 314 nt
Filed under: Staphylococcus aureus
Lineage: Bacteria; Bacillati; Bacillota; Bacilli; Caryophanales; Staphylococcaceae
Description: partial 23S ribosomal RNA
Rfam family: Bacterial large subunit ribosomal RNA
Source: RNAcentral